Molecule: ribosomal RNA, 405 nt
Filed under: uncultured prokaryote
Description: bacterial SSU rRNA
Rfam family: Bacterial small subunit ribosomal RNA
Source: RNAcentral
UGGGGAAUAUUGGGCAAUGGGCGCAAGCCUGACCCAGCAACGCCGCGUGAGGGAAGAAGGUCUUCGGAUUGUAAACCUCUGUCCUUGGGGACGAAAAAAAUGACGGUACCCAAGGAGGAAGCUCCGGCUAACUACGUGCCAGCAGCCGCGGUAAUACGUAGGGAGCAAGCGUUGUCCGGAAUUAUUGGGCGUAAAGGGUGCGUAGGCGGCGCUGCAAGUCAGAUGUGAAAUCCCCGGGCUUAACUCGGGGGGUGCAUUUGAAACUGCAGUGCUUGAGUGCAGGAGAGGAAAGCGGAAUUCCUAGUGUAGCGGUGAAAUGCGUAGAUAUUAGGAAGAACACCGGUGGCGAAGGCGGCUUUCUGGACUGUAACUGACGCUGAGGCACGAAAGCGUGGGGAGCAAACA